CGGGGUGUAGCGCAGCCUGGUAGCGCAUCUGCUUUGGGAGCAGAGGGCCGGGAGUUCAAAUCUCUCCACCCCGACCA
This 77-nucleotide transfer RNA is filed under the name Rhodospirillaceae bacterium. RNAcentral describes it as "tRNA-Pro". It matches the Rfam family "tRNA". Rfam says of the family: Transfer RNA (tRNA) molecules are approximately 80 nucleotides in length. Their secondary structure includes four short double-helical elements and three loops (D, anti-codon, and T loops). Further hydrogen bonds mediate the characteristic L-shaped molecular structure. tRNAs have two regions of fundamental functional importance: the anti-codon, which is responsible for specific mRNA codon recognition, and the 3' end, to which the tRNAs corresponding amino acid is attached (by aminoacyl-tRNA synthetases). tRNAs cope with the degeneracy of the genetic code in two manners: having more than one tRNA (with a specific anti-codon) for a particular amino acid; and 'wobble' base-pairing, i.e. permitting non-standard base-pairing at the 3rd anti-codon position. RNAcentral also lists the same sequence under 1 other name. The record is from RNAcentral. Lineage: Bacteria; Pseudomonadati; Pseudomonadota; Alphaproteobacteria; Rhodospirillales; Rhodospirillaceae.